RNAcentral lists this ribosomal RNA (440 nucleotides) under uncultured bacterium. RNAcentral's name for it is "partial 16S ribosomal RNA". It matches the Rfam family "Bacterial small subunit ribosomal RNA", at positions 338 to 795 of the family's 1533-position model. The record is from RNAcentral.
CCUACGGGCGACUGCAGUGGGGAAUAUUGCACAAUGGGGGAAACCCUGAUGCAGCGACGCCGCGUGAGUGAAGAAGUAAUUCGUUAUGUAAAGCUCUAUCAGCAGGGAAGAAAAUGACGGUACCUGAGUAAGAAGCCCCGGCUAACUACGUGCCAGCAGCCGGGGUAAUACGUAGGGGGCAGGCGUUAUCCGGAUUUACUGGGUGUAAAGGGGGCGUAGACGGCAGUGCAAGUCUGGAGUGAAAGGCGGGGGCUCAACCCCCGGACUGCCCUGGAAACUGUACGGCUGGAGUGCAGGAGAGGUAAGUGGAAUUCCUGGUGUAGCGGUGAAAUGCGUAGAUAUUAGGAGGAACACCAGUGGCGAAGGCGGCUUACUGGACCCUAACUGACGUUGAGGCUCGAAAGCGUGGGGAUCAAACAGGAUUAGAUACCCGAGUAGUC